GGAUGUGAGGGCAAUCUGGCUGUGAUGUCUGUCACCCGAUUGAUCGCCAGGGUUGACUGGGCUGCUCUGGCUGGCUAGGCAGGUGUCCCCUUCCUCCCUCGCUGCUCUAUGUGUGUCCCUCCCAAAGCUGAGGACAGCCACCCCAUAGAGGAGGACCAUUUCCUCAGUCAAGGAUGUAGGAGUAGCGGCACUCCCCUGCUAGAACCUCCCAACAAGUUCUCUAAAGACACUAUAUAUUGUCUCACACUUUUGGAUAAUGCUUCCAUAACUAUGUCACCACUCUUACAGGUAUUGUUCCAGAAACUAUCCAGCAAUUUCUAA
RNAcentral lists this small nuclear RNA (321 nucleotides) under Chinchilla lanigera (long-tailed chinchilla). Its description in RNAcentral is "7SK RNA (ENSCLAG00000021722.1)". The stretch from base 1 to 284 matches the Rfam family "7SK RNA". Rfam says of the family: 7SK was discovered as an abundant small nuclear RNA in the mid-70s but a possible function has only recently been suggested. Two independent studies have found that 7SK RNA binds the CDK9/cyclin T complex (known as elongation factor P-TEFb). Lineage: Eukaryota; Metazoa; Chordata; Mammalia; Rodentia; Chinchillidae. The record is from RNAcentral.